AUAUGGAGCUUCCCAGGCUAGGGGUCAAAUCAGAGAUGUAGGUGCCAGCCUACACCACAGCCACAGCAACAAGGGAUCCAAGCCAUGUCUGCGACUUACACCACAGCUCGCAGCAACAUCAGACCCUUAACCCACUGCGCAAGGCCAGAGACUGAACCCACAUCCUCUUGGAUACUAGUUGGGUUCAUGAGCCACUGAGCCACAAUGGGAACUCCUACAAUAAACAACUUUUAAAGUGGAGAGCUGAGGAGUUCUCGUUGUGCCUCAGUGGGUUAAGAGCCUGACAUAGUGUCUGUGAGGAUGCAGGUUCAAUCUCUGGCCUUGCUCUGUGGGUUAAGGAUCUGGCACUGCCACAAGCUGUGGCAUAGGCUACAGAUAAGCCUUGGGAUCCGGCAUUGCUGUGUCUGUGGCAUAGGCCAGCAGCUGCAUCUCCAAUUAGACCUCCAGCCCAGGAACUUCCAUAUGCUACAGGUGCGGCUGUAAAAAGAAAAAAUAAGUACACAAAUUACAUUAAAAUUUAAUUUAAAAAAAUAAAGUGGAUAGCUGAGUUGAAAAGAGAUAUCGAAACCAGAAAGGAAAGAAAAUCAAAGUGAGUAUGUGAGUACCAAUGCUUUUCUUAUCCUGCUUUUGUUAACAGGGAAUUGGCUUUUUUUUUGGGGGGGGGUCCUUUUAGGGCCACACCUGCGGCAUACAGAGGUUCCCAGGCUGGCGUCCAAUCAGAGCUGUAGCUGCUGGCCUACACCACAGCCACAGCCACAGCAACGCUGGAUCCAAGCUGUGUCUGUGACCUACACCUCAGCUCAUGGCAACACUGGAUCCUUAACCCACUGGGCAAGGCCGGGAUCGAAUCUGUGCCCUCAUGGAUGCUGGUCAGAUUCAUUUCCACUGAGCCACGAUGGGAACCCAGGGAAUUGCCCUAGUGCUAGUGGGAAGAAAAAGUCUCUCUUGAGAUUUAAUAACUACAAACCUGUUCUCACAAGUAUGGAGUUCAAAUUUCAGCUCCUUGCAACAUUCAGAAAUUAGCAUAAUAAGCUGAGAAAUAAACAUAAUACAUAGUCCUUAGCUAAUAUGAAACUUAGGGCAUCUAGUAAAAACUGAAAGAAAGUCUUUCUUGGGAAAGUUUCCUCAAGCAAAGCCAAAGUGAAGCAAAAGACCUUCUUUCAGUGGACGUUCCAUUAAAAAAAAUGCCCCCCUCAUAUAUGAACACACAACCCCAAAUUAUAAAGUGCACAAGAAAAUAAUGCACUGUGAAUAAGUGUGAACAAAAACAAUAUACCAAAUUUGAUCUCCAAACACUUCAAAACAUUGAACCAUGGGAUAGAUUCAGUAGACUGAAUUGUGAUAGACUGAGUUAUUGGCCCAGGACCGCAUCCUUGCUGGCAUCCACACCCUUGCUAUGGCUUCGUCAUAGGCAGAAGGGACUUUUACAUCCAUUAACUUAGAGCUUGGCAAGAUGCCUUGUUUGGAUCAGUGGCAUGCAGAGGAAGUGACCAUGGAUCAGUCCCUAGAUGAAGCCUUAAGAAGCCUCAUGUGUUUAUGUUUGUUCAGCAAUCAUUAUGAGAAGAUUUUCCCCUGAGUAGCUAUUGCUCCUUCAUCCAGGGCCCUAAACCAACAUUCCAGAAGCAGAGCUGAGCACAGGUCUGCAGUGAGAAGUGGAGUCAUGUCAGCUGCCAGAGUCUUAAGCAGAGGCUCCCAAGUGGGCCUAGAUCUGCAGAGCUGCCCCAGCCAAUAAACAGAUGCAUAAAUGUAGGAGAAUCAGUAAUUUUUGGAUGACCAAAACUACUGAGUUUUGGGAUGAUAUGUAUAUAAUAUAAUUAUAAAAAUAGAAAAGUUAUACAAACAAGUAUAUUUUAAAUGACUAGGAAAAAAGAAGGAAUAAAAAGUGAGAAAAAGGGUUUUUGUUUUUUUUUUUUUUUGAAUGGGGGGGGUGAGGGCUGCACCUGAAGCAUAUGGAAGUUCCCAGGCUAGGGGUCAAAUAAGAGCUGCAGCUCCUGGCUAUGCCACAGCCACAGCAACAACAGAUCCAAGCCUCAUCUGCAACCUACCAUUGCAGCUCCCAGCAACACCAGAUCCUUAACCCACUGAGCAAGGUCAGAGAUCGAACACACAUCCUCAUGGACACUAGUCAGGUUUGUUUCAACUGAGCCACAGUGGAAACUCUGAAAAAAAACAUAUUAAAAAAAAAAAUAAAGGUCCAUGUAUUUUUUUUUUUUUUUUUUGGCCACAUCCACAGCAUGCAGAAGUUUCUGGGCCAGGGAGCAGACCCUAGCCACAGCAGAAACCCAAGCCACAGCAGUGAUAAUCCUUAACUUGCUGAGCCACCAGGGAACCCAGGUGCAUGCAUUUCAGAAAAAGAACUUGGAGUUCCUGUUGUGGCUCAGCAGGUUAAGCACCUGACAUAGUGUCCAUGAGGAUGCAAGUUCAAUCCCUGGCCUCGCUCAGUGGGUUAAUGAUCCAGUAUUGCUGCAAACUGCAGCCUAGGUCACAGAUGUGGCUCAGAUCUGGUGUUGCAGUGGCUGUGGCAUAGGCCAGCAACUGUAGUUCCAAUUCGACCUCUAGCUUGCAAACUUCCAUAUGCCAGAGGUAUGUCCUUAAAAAAGACAGAAAGGAAAGAAAAGAAAAAGAACUUAAACUUAACAGAAAUAUUUUUAGAGGUUACUGAAGUUUAAAACUAAUGAAGAAUUGUCCUUCUACUCACGAAGGAUUUAUUGCUAUGAAAAAUUCCCACCCAUCAUAAACAACUUGAAAACACAGACAAAAUAUAUGAAAUAACCCCUUUGGACAAUGGGUACUAGGCAGUGAAGGACUAUGAUCUCUGAAGGGAAAUAAACAAAGAGAGCACUACAAUUGCCCCAGUUUACUGUGUGGGAACAGUUUCCUGGCUGCAGAACAGGAAAGGGGAACCCAAACAGAGACCAAUAGUCUUGCUGAAUUGAAGAGAAAGAUAUCAGAGUUCAAGGAAGUCAAGACAACUAGACUUUCUGGGGCAGAGUGCCACAGAAGAUGGAACUUCACAGAGAUCCAGAGAUCUUCAGAAAAUUCCCCUUGAGUCCAUGGUGAAACUCUGAUUCUGGGAAAGAAUCACUGGAAAACUAUGAGCUGAACAAAUCCUGGGAACAGUAUGUGUUCCCAUCUGCCAGAGUGAAAGGCCACAUAAUUCAUGGGACAUUGAAUAAAGUCCUAACAUGAGUAUCAUGUAAAAAGUAGUGGGGCUAAAUUAGCCAC
This 3225-nucleotide long non-coding RNA is filed under the name Sus scrofa (pig). RNAcentral's name for it is "lncRNA (ENSSSCG00050047886.1)". The record is from RNAcentral. Lineage: Eukaryota; Metazoa; Chordata; Mammalia; Artiodactyla; Suidae.